Centrocercus urophasianus (Greater sage-grouse) is the source of this 649-nucleotide long non-coding RNA. RefSeq lists it as uncharacterized. The transcript has 3 exons. The record is from RefSeq and is a predicted model, not a curated record. Lineage: Eukaryota; Metazoa; Chordata; Aves; Galliformes; Phasianidae.
CCAGAGCUGUGCUAUUUGGCGGUGCCGUGUACCGCCCACCCUUAGCGGGCCGCUCGCUUUUUGUUGGUGUUUGGGACGGGACAAACAUACACGCAACCCUUUAGCGGCCCUGCGCCGACUCCCUUGUGCUGUCGGUCCUUUAUGUAGAGGGAGAGUGACGCGGCUCCUCGUGCCUCCCCCUGCCUUUGCUGUACCAUAAAUCCUCGAGUAUAGGCCCCCCGCCGUCCAGCGGCGGAAGGAGCAAAGCAGGGCUGAGGAGCGAGAGGAAACGUGGCAAACGCUCCGGAGCGCCCAGGGAGAGGUGGAGGUGGAUCAGGCUGCGUGUACCUCUGCCAUAGCCGGCAGCUGGAGCGGGCUGAAGGUGCCGGUCAGGGCGGUAACGCAGUGCUGGAGGACAUCGGGAAAUGGUAGACUGGGGAAGACCGGGAUGAAUUGUUGCACCACGAGAUCAUGCUCAGAAAUCAUGGAACGAACAGAUCCAAUACAUCUACAGUUUUAAAAGGACGAGUAAAUCUCGCCAGAACGCCUGCCAGAUGCCAAGUGCUUUGUUCCAUUGGAACUAACAGAGCAUACUCUUAAGACAGCUGCAUCCAAGAGAUCCUGAAUGAAGAGGAGUUGUCUUGGGCCGCAUAUCAAAUAUAUAAUAUAG